RNAcentral lists this ribosomal RNA (241 nucleotides) under uncultured bacterium. RNAcentral describes it as "partial 16S ribosomal RNA". It matches the Rfam family "Bacterial small subunit ribosomal RNA", at positions 67 to 334 of the family's 1533-position model. The record is from RNAcentral.
CGGGCGUAGCAAUACGUCAGCGGCAGACGGGUGAGUAACGCGUGGGAACGUACCUUUUGGUUCGGAACAACACAGGGAAACUUGUGCUAAUACCGGAUAAGCCCUUACGGGGAAAGAUUUAUCGCCGAAAGAUCGGCCCGCGUCUGAUUAGCUAGUUGGUAGGGUAAUGGCCUACCAAGGCGACGAUCAGUAGCUGGUCUGAUAGGAUGAUCAGCCACAUUGGGACUGAGACACGGCCCAA